This 162-nucleotide ribosomal RNA is filed under the name Liriope muscari (big blue lilyturf). RNAcentral describes it as "5.8S ribosomal RNA". It matches the Rfam family "5.8S ribosomal RNA". From Rfam's summary of the family: 5.8S ribosomal RNA (5.8S rRNA) is a component of the large subunit of the eukaryotic ribosome. It is transcribed by RNA polymerase I as part of the 45S precursor that also contains 18S and 28S rRNA. Functionally, it is thought that 5.8S rRNA may be involved in ribosome translocation. The record is from RNAcentral. Lineage: Eukaryota; Viridiplantae; Streptophyta; Magnoliopsida; Asparagales; Asparagaceae.
ACGACUUUUGGCAACGGAUAUCUUGGCUCUCGCAUCGAUGAAGAACGUAGCGAAAUGCGAUACUUGGUGUGAAUUGCAGAAUCCCGUGAACCAUCGAGUCUUUGAACGCAAGUUGCGCCCGAGGCUAUCCGGCCGAGGGCACGCCUGCCUGGGCGUCACGCC